UACGAAGGGGGCUAGCGUUGUUCGGAAUCACUGGGCGUAAAGGGCGCGUAGGCGGCUUUAUAAGUCGGGGGUGAAAGCCUGUGGCUCAACCACAGAAUUGCCUUCGAUACUGUAUGGCUUGAGACCGGAAGAGGUGAGUGGAAUUCCGAGUGUAGAGGUGAAAUUCGUAGAUAUUCGGAGGAACACCAGUGGCGAAGGCGGCUCACUGGUCCGGUACUGACGCUGAGGUGCGAAAGCGUGGGGAGCAAACAGG
This 253-nucleotide ribosomal RNA is filed under the name uncultured bacterium. Its description in RNAcentral is "partial 16S ribosomal RNA". It matches the Rfam family "Bacterial small subunit ribosomal RNA", at positions 524 to 776 of the family's 1533-position model. The record is from RNAcentral.